UUGAUUUUAGCUUAGUCGGUAGAGUAGAGGACUGUAGAUCAUUAGGUCGCUGGUUCGAAUCCAGUAAGUCGAA
Ipomoea triloba (trilobed morning glory) is the source of this 73-nucleotide non-coding RNA. The record is from the annotation of a RefSeq genome assembly. Lineage: Eukaryota; Viridiplantae; Streptophyta; Magnoliopsida; Solanales; Convolvulaceae.